Molecule: small RNA, 107 nt
Filed under: Salmonella enterica subsp. enterica serovar Manhattan
Lineage: Bacteria; Pseudomonadati; Pseudomonadota; Gammaproteobacteria; Enterobacterales; Enterobacteriaceae
Also listed under: 1 other name
Description: partial RtT sRNA
Rfam family: RtT RNA
About the family: This family represents a bacterial cis-regulatory element known as RtT RNA. The exact function of RtT is unknown although it is thought that it may be involved in changing the cellular response in relation to amino acid starvation.
Source: RNAcentral
ACCUCCGGGGGUAAGAGGUUCGACUCGAGCGAAGCGAGAGAACGUUGCGCCAGCAACGGCCCGCAGGGCGAGCCACGCAGUGGCGAGUCAUCCUCUAUCACCGGCAG